GGCACCUGGAUCUGCACACAAGGUGCAGAGAGUAACAUGAGUAUGCAACUCAGUAAGUAACUAAAGUAAAUAAACUCUGAGUGCAGUGAUGAGCAAUUAAAAUCAUAUGCAUACUUUAUUAAGAAUUUCAACAGGAAUAUCAAAGUCAAAAUCUAUAGUUCAAUAACCAAAUACCUCGUACAAAUUCCAGUUUCAAUAGAAAUCCUUUAAAACAUUUAAUCAGCAUUUUUCAAUAAAGGCUCAGUAUAAAAGGAGAGUGAAAACAGGAAAUCUCAUAAACAAACCCUUCGGGCAAGGUAUCACUCAUAAGUAUAGCCUCUCAGUCACUCGUGACUCAGCUCUCAUCAUUCAGUACUCACACUCAGCACGCCAGCUUAAUAGCUAUCUCAUAAUAAUUAUCAUUGUGUCGUGCAGCCCGAUCCAUAAUAUAUAGCCGACUACGCUCACUAGGGGUGUACAGACUCCGGAGGGGCUCCUACAACCCAAGCAUUACUACGACGCAUAGCCUGAUCCAAUAUAUAUCUUGUUGCGACGUGCAGCCCGAUCCAUAUAUAUAUAAAUAUAACUACGGCGUGCAGCCGGAUCCAUAACAUAUAUAUAAUCCUCAUCAUUAGGUCCUCGACCUCUCUCUCAGUCAUUAAGCUCACAGUCACUCGGGCAUUUUAGUAAAAAUCAGGGAACUCAGUCCAAACAGUUUUCAUAUAUUAGGAAGUUGGGUAAUGAACCCGAAUUAAACAAUAAAUAGGUAAACAUGACUGAGGAUAUGCUUUCAAAUAAAAAUAGUGUGAGGAAAGUAGUAAAAUACCCAUAAGGGUCUAAACAGGUCGGCACAAAGGCCCCAAACAUGGCAUUCGACCCAAGUUAACAAAUCUAUUUCUAAAACACAUGGAUAUCAUAAACAAUAUAUCACAAUAUGCAACUAUACAGUCGCCACGGGACGGACCAAGUCACAAUCUGUAACGACCCAGCUGGUCAUUUCAUGAGUUACUGCACUGUUUCCCCUAUUUCUAAUUCUUAUUGUCUUGUCCAAUUGUAUUAUGUGAUAUCGUGCUGGUUGGUUUGGGUUCAGAGAGAUUUUUGGAAAGGAAUGAGACAUUUAGUCUCUUUUGAGUAAGCUUAGGUUAAAAAAGUUAACCGAAUGUUGACUUAUGUGAAAAAGGGCUCAGAUGUGAAUUCUGAUGGUUCGGAUAGCUUUGGGAGGUUUAUUUGGGACUUAGAAGCGUGAUCAGAAUGUGUUUUGGAGAUCCGAAGUAGAUUUAGGCUUGAAUUGACGAAAUUGGAAUAUUGGCGUUUUCCGGUUGAUAGGUGAGAUUUUGAUAUAGGGGUCAGAUUGGAAUUCUAAAAGGUGAAGUAGGUUCGUUGUGUCAUUUAUGAUGUGUGUACAAAAUUUCAGGUCAUUCGGACGAGGUUUGAUAGACUUUUUGAUUGAAAGCGAAAUUUGGAUGUUUUUGGAAUUCUUAGGCUUGAAUCCGAUGGUAUUUUGGUGUUUUAGUGUUUUUUUGAGUGAUUCGAAGGCUCGACUAAGUUUGAAUAAUGCUAUGAGAUAUGUUGGCAUGUUUGGGUUGAGGUCCCGAGGUCCUCGGGUGAGUUUUGUAUGGUUAAACAGAUCAAAAUCAUGUUUGGAAGUUGUAGAAAAAUCUGUUGUUGGUGUUACAGACAUUUAGCCUUCACGUUCGCGAGAGGGCUCUCGCAUUUGCGAAGGGAUGUGAUGCGAGGCAGGAAGUUUGUCCUUCGCGUUCGUGAUGUUGGUCCCGCAUUCACGAAGGAUUAGGUUCUGUGUUCAUCACGAACGCGAUAAGUAUUCCGCGUUCACGUAGAGUAGAUGGGAGCAGCUGGGUCCAGGUUCAUUUGUGCUUCGCGUUCGCGAGCUAGAGGUAGAGUUCGCGAUGGGAUGAGGAGCUAAAGCUUCGCGUUCACAUUCAGGAUGUCGCGUUCGCGAUGAAUGAUGUUAAAUGGAUUUUGUGCUUUGCGAACGCGAGGCAUUGAUUGCGUUCGCGAAGAAGGAAAAGGUUACCUGGGCAUAAUGUUUAAAUAGCCUUUGUCCGCAAGUUUGGGUCUAACUUUCACCUUUUUGAGCGAUUUUGGAGCUUUUUGAGAAGAAUUGAAGAGGGAAUCAAGGGGAAACAUUUGGAGAUUUGGAGCAUCCGGAGGCCGAGUCGAGACAAGUGUCAGAGGAUUCUAGUCAUUUCGAUGCUAGAGGUUCCCUUUAGUCCCCGUCUCCAGCACCAUGGAGUUCUUAUAGUGUGGAGAGUUGGGUCACAUGUGGAGGUAGUGUCCUCGUCGUCUUGGGGUUCAUCUCAACAGAGGAGUCAGCCAUCAGCUUCAGCGCCAGUUACUUCACCACCACCCACCCAUCCAGCUAGGGGUAAAUGUCAGUCAGCUAGGGGUCACCCUAGAGGGGGAGGUCGAUCAGGUGGUGCUCAGGCCCGUUUCUAUGCACUCCCAGCUAGACCUGAUGCUAUUGCUUCAGAUGUGGUGAUUACAUGUAUUGUCUCAGUUUGCCACAGAGAUGCUUCUGUGUUAUUUGAUCCUAGUUCCACUUGUUCAUAUGUGUCAUCAUAUUUUGCUCGUUAUUUGGAUACGCCCCGUGAGUCUCUUGUUUCAUCUGUUCGUGUAUCUACUCUAGUGGGCGAUACUAUUGUUGUGGACCGUGUGUACCAAUCGUGUGUGGUGACUAUUGUGGGUCUGAAGACCCGAGUGGACCUGUUAUUGCUUUGUGUGGUGGACUUUGAUGUGAUAUUGGGCAUGGAUUGACUAUCUCCGUGUCAUGCUAUAUUAGACUAUCAUGCUAAGACAGUGACAUUGGCUAUGUCGGGUGUGCCACAGAUUGAGUGGCGAGGUUUGACUGAUUUUGUCCCCAGUAGGGUGAUUUCAUUCUUUAAAGCCCAGCGGAUGGUUGGGAAAGGUUGUCUUUCAUACUUAACCUUUUGAGAGAUGUCAGUGAAGAGACUCCUAGUAUUGAUUUUGUUCCUGUUGUGAGGGAUUUUCCCGAUAUUUUUCCUACAGACCUGUCAGGCAUGCCACCGGAUAGGGAUAUUGAUUUUUGUAUUGAUCUAGUGCCAGGCACUUAGCCCAUUUCUAUUCCACCGUAUCGUAUGGCACCAGCGGAGUUGAAGGAGUUGAAGGAGAAACUUAGGAACUCCUUGAUAAGGGGUUCAUUCGGCCUAGUGUGUCGCCUUGGGGUGCGCUUGUUCUAUUUAUGAAGAAGAAGGAUGGCACGAUGAGGAUGUGCAUUGAUUACAGGCUGUUGAACAAAGUAACAAUCAAGAACAAGUAUCCUUUGCCUCGUAUCAAUGAUUUAUUUGACCAGCUUCAGGGAGUGAGAGUGUUCUCCAAGAUUGAUCUUCAUUCAGGUUAUUACCAAUUGAAGAUCAGGGACUCGGAUAUUCAUAAGACAGGCUUUAGGACCAGAUAUGGUCAUUAUAAGUUCCUUGUUAUAUCUUUUGGGUUGACCAAUGCCACGGUAGUAUUCAUGCAUUUGAUGAACAACGUGUUUCGUCCUUAUCUUGACGCAUUCAUGAUUGUUUUCAUUGAUGAUAUUCUGGUGUACUCGAGUAGUCAGGAGGAGCACACGGAGCAUUUGAGAGUUGUGUUGCAGAAGUUGAGGGAGGAGAAUCUUUGUGCAACGUUCUCCAAAUGUGAGUUUUGACUUAGUUUAGUGACUUUCUUGGGGCAUAUGGUGUCCAGUGAGUGUAUUCAGGUUGAUCCGAAAAAGAUUAAGGCAGUUCAGAGUUGGCCUAGACCGUCCUAAGCCAUGGAGAUUCGUAACUUUCUUGGUUUGGUGGGUUAUUAUCGUCAGCUUGUGCAGGGAUUUUUAUCUAUAGAAUCACCCUUGGCCAAGUUGACUCAAAAGGGUGCUCCUUUCAUGUGGUCAGAUGAGUGUGAGGCGAGCUUUCAAAAGCUCAAUACUGUCUUGACCACAACUCUAGUGUUAGUUAUGCCCUCAGCUUCAGGUUCAUAUAUAGUGUAUUUUGAUGCUUCAAGAAUUGGUAUUGGGUAUGUGUUGAUGCAAAAGUGUAGAGUUAUUGCUUAUGCUUCUUGUCAGUUGAAGCCCUAUGAGAAGAACUACCCUGUUCAUGUUUUGGAGUUGGCUGCCAUUGUUCAAGCGUUGAAGAUCUUGAGGCAUUAUUUGUAUAGUGUGUCUUGUGAGGUGUUUACCGAUCAUCGUAGCCUCCAACACUUAUUCAAGCAGAAGGAUCUCAAUUCGAGGCAGCAGAGAUGGUUGGAGCUGCUAAAGGACUAUGAUAUCACUAUUUUGUACCAUCCAAAAAAGGCCAAUGUAGUGGUUGAUGCAUUGAGCCGGAAGCAGUGAGUAUGGGCAGUCUUGCAUUUAUUUUUGUUGGGGAGAGACCUCUUAUAGUUGAUGUUCAGGCCUUGGCCAAUCGGUUUGUGAAGUUGGAUAUUUCGAAGCCCGGUUAGGUAUUGGCUUGUGUUAUUUCUCGGUCUUCCUUAUUUGAUCGCAUCAAAGAGCGCCAGUAUGAUGAUCAUCAUUUGCUUGUCCUUAAGGACAGAGUUCAGCACGACGAUGUCAGAGAUGUGACAAUUGGCAAUGAUAGGGUGUUAAGGAUGCAGGUCCAAAUAUGUGUGCCCAAUGUGGAUGGACUUCGAGAGUUAAAUCUAGAGAGGCCCAUAGCUCGCGGUAUUCCAUCCAUCCAGGUGCUGCGAAGAUGUAUCAGGAUAUGAGACAACACUAUUGGUAGAGGAGAAUGAAGAAGGACAUUGUGGGAUUUGUAGCUCGGUGUCUCAAUUGUCAGCAGGUGAAAUAUGAGCAUCAGAGAUCGGGUGGCUUGCUUCAGUAGAUGGAUAUUCCAGAGUGGAAGUGGAAGCGGGUCACUAUGGAUUUUGUAGUUGGACUCCCACGGGCUUUGAAGAAGUUCGAUGCUAUUUGGGUGAUUAUGGAUCGGUUGACCAAGUCUGCGUACUUCAUUCCUGUAUGUACUACCUAUUCUUCAGAGCGAUUGGCGGGGAUCUAUAUCCGAGAGAUUGUUCGUUUGCAUGGUAUCCUAGUUUCCAUCAUUUCAGAUAUAGGUACUCAAUAUACUUUGCAGUUUUGGAAAGCGGUGCAGAGAGAGUUGGGUACUCAGGUUGAGUUGAGCACAACUUUUCACCCUCAGACGGACGGGCAGUCCGAGCGCACUAUUUAGAUAUUGGAGGACAUGUUGCGCGCUUGUGUCAUUGAUUUUAGAGGGUCAUGGGAUCAGUUUCUACCGCUCAUAGAGUUUGCUUAUAACAACAGUUAUCAGUCGAGUAUUUAGAUGGCUCCAUAUGAGGCUUUGUAUGGGAGACUAGGCUUUGUAGAUCUUCGGUCGGUUGGUUUGAGCCAUGUGAGGCUAGGCUUUUGGGUACUAACUGGUGCAGGAUGCUUUAGACAAGGUGAAGGUGAUUCAAGAGCGGCUUCGUACAGCGCAAUCGAGACAAAAGAGUUAUGCUGACAGUAAGGUUCGAGAUGGGUCCUACAUGGUUAGUGAGAAGGUUUUACUGAAUGUUUCACCUAUGAAGGGUGUUAUCAGAUUCGGGAAGAAGGGUAAAUUAAGUCCUCGGUUCAUUGGGCCUUUUGAGGUGCUUCGGAGGAUUGGGGAGGUGGCUUUUGAGCUUGCUUUGCCACCCAGCUUAUCGAGUGUGCAUCCGAUAUUUCAUGUUUCUAUGCUUCAUAAUUAUAUUAGUGAUCUGUCUCAUAUUUUGGACUUUAGCACGAUUCAGUUAGAUGAUGAUUUGACUUAUGAUGUGGAGCCAGUGGCUAUUUUGGAGCGUCAAGUUCGAAAGUUGAGAUCAAAGGAUAUAGCUUUAGUGAACGUGCAGUGGAGAGGUCGUCCCGUAGAGGAGGCUACCUGGGAGACCGAGCAGAAGAUGCGGAGAAGAUAUCCUCACCUAUUUGAGGUUUCAGGUAUGUUUCUUAACCCGUUCGAGGACGAACGUUUGUUUAAGAGGGGGAAGAUGUAACGACCAUGCCGGUCGUUUCAUGAGUUACCGCUCCGUUUCCCCCAUUUCUGCUUCUUAUUGUCUUGUUAAGUUGUAUUAUGUGAUAUCGGGUUGGUUAGUUUGGGUUCAGAGAGAUUUUUGGAAAGGAAUGAGACACUUAGUCUCUUUUGAGUAAGCUUAAGUUGGAAAAGUCAACUUGAUGUUGACUUAUGUGAAAAAGGGCUCGGAUGUGAAUUUUGAUGGUUCAAAUAGUUUCGGGAGGUGAUUUGGGACUUAGGAGCUUGAUCAGAAUAUGUUUUAGAGGUCCGGAGUAGAUUUAGGAUUGAAUUGGCGAAAUUGAAAUUUUGUGGUUUUCUGGUUGAUAGGUGAGAUUUUAAUAUAGGGUUUGGAAUGGAAUUCUGAAAGUUGGAGUAGGUCCGUUGUGUCAUUUGUGAUGUGUGUGCAAAAUUUCAGGUCAUUCGGACGAGGUUUGAUACAUUUUUUGAUCGAAAACGGAAUUUGGAAGUUUUUGGAAUUCUUAGGCUUGAAUCCGAUGGUAUUUUGGUGUUUUAGUGUUGUUUUGUGUGAUUCAAAGGCUCUACUAAGUUUGAAUGAUGCUAUGGGAUGUGUUGGCAUGUUUGGGCUGAGGUCCCGAGGGCCUUAGGUGAGUUUCGGGUGGUUAAACGGAUCAAAAUCAUGUUUGAGAAGUUGCAGAAAAAUCUGUUGUUGGUGUUGCAGACAUUUGGCCUUCGCAUUCGCGAGAGGGCUCUCACGUUCGUGAAGGGAUGUGAUGUGAGGCAGGAAGUUUUUCCUUCGCGUUGCCAAUGUUGGUCCCGCGUUCUCGAAGGGUUAUAUUCUGUAAUCAUCGUGAACGCGAUGAGUAUUCCGUGUUCGUGUAGAGUAGAUGGGAGCAGCUGGGUCCAGGUUCAUUUGUGCUUCGCGUUCGCGAGCUAGAGGUCGUGUUCGCGAUGAGUUGAGGAUUUGAAGCUUCGCUUUCGCGUUUAGGAUGUCGCGUUCGCGUUGAAGGAUUUAAGUGGUCAACGGAUUUUGUGCUUCGCGAACGCGAGGCGUUGACCGCUUUCGCGAAGAAGGAAAAGGGUCACCUGGGUAGAAUGUUUAAAUAGCCUUUGUCCGCGAUUUUGGGUCUAACUUUCACCAUUUUUGAGCGAUUUUUGAGCUUUUUUAGAUGAAUUGAAGAGGGAAUCAAGGGGAAACACUUGGAGAUUUGGAGCAUCCGGAGGUCGAGUUGAUAAGCAACGGCAUCGCGGGCUAGAAUUUGGACUGGAUUGAGGUAAGUAAUGAUUGUAAAUGUUGUCCUGAGGGUAUGAAACCUCGGAUUUCACAUCGUUAUGCUACUUUGAGGUGACGCACAUGCUAUAUGACGAGCGUGGGGCCGUGCACUGUGCGUAUUGCUUAGUCAUUCUCAUAUGACUGUUAAAUCGCAUGUUUGAUUGAAAACUGUUUGAUAUCAUCGUGUUUUGGAAAGUAUUAUCGUGUUUUGGGCUGAAUUGCCAUAUUUGGGCCUUGUGCCAACUGUCUUGGACCCUUAAGGGGAUUUUUACUACUAUUCCUUACUGUUUUGACUUCAUAUUUGUACUCGGUCAUGCUGUAUUCUACUGUUUUCAUAACUCUGCUAUAUUUACUCCGUCUUGAUAUUUUAAAUGAUAUUUUGGGCUGAGCAUCAUGUUUUACUGUGUUGUGAGGAUAUUAUGGGAUUGGGCUGCGCUCCGCAGCAGUGUUGUACUAAUUUAUGAUUGUGAGGCCGAGGGCCAGUUUGAUUAUGCCACGAGAUGGCUUGUUAUAGCGCUUGGGCUAUAGAAGCCCUUCCGGAGUGUGCACACUAUCAGUGAGCGCGGGUACCUAGUGUGAGAUGUGAUAUUGCCCGAGGGGCUAAUACGAGUGAUUGUGAGGUAGCCCGAGAGGCUGGUUCUAUUAGUAUUUUGCCCGAGGGGCGGUUAUGGUACUGGUUUUGCCUGAGAGGCUGAUUUAUGUUUCUAUCCUUUUCUCACUGUUUUCAUCACUCGUUUGAACUACAGAAAGAUGUUUUAAAAAGGUUUUUAUUGAACUGAGAUGUUUUUACGAGUUUUACUGUUUUACUACAUUAUUCUAGAUUUAUAUUGUUCUGUUGUAGCACUUCGCUGUGUUUUACGUAUUUUCUUACUGCUUAACUGCCUUUACUUUUAUUACUUACUGAGUUGGCGUACUCACAUUACUACCUGCACCCUAUGUGCAGAUCCAGGAGUCUCAGGUCACACUUGGAGUGCUGAUUUGCCUUCUAGCAGGCUUGUUCGGAGUUGACUAGGUAGCUGCGCGGUGUUCGCAACCCAGUGCUUCUCCUUCCUAUCUUUAUUUCGCUUUGUACUAGCUUUGUUUAAGACUAUGUUGUCCUUUCAUAUUUUUAGACGAGUUGUAGAUGCUCAUGACUGGUGACACUCCGAUGUCGGGCUAUGUUUUGGUUUCCGUACUGUUUUAUCCUACUUUAUACUAUGGGAUUUUAGCUUGUUAAUGUCUUUAAAUGACUUAUUAUUAUUGUUCAGUUGGUUUGGGGUUUGUGUUGGCUAGCCUAGUUUCACGAUAGACGCAAUCACGACCAGGUCCGUUUUAGGGUCAUAACACAAUCCCUACGGGUGCACGCCCACACACUUAUCACCUAUCAUGUACGUCACCUCAUUUAUCAAAUAGUAUGAAAUUUAGGGGUUUCAUACCCUCAGGUCUAGAUUUACAAUCGUUACUUACCUCAAACCGGAUGAAAUCCUAUUCCGCGAUGUCCUUGCCUCUCGACUCGGCCUCAACUCGCGUCGAUUCUAUCCAAAAUCAGAAUCAUAACAUACAUAUAGCCUCAAAUAGGUAGGGAUAUCUGCUCCGUAUCUCCUGGUCGAUCUCCCAGGUAGCCUCGUCCGCGGGCCGACCUCUCUACUGCACUUUCACUGAAGCUCUAUCCUUUAAUCUCAACUUUCAAACCUGACUCCCCAAAAUAACCAUUGGCUCCACAUCAUAAGUCAAAUCACCAUACUUCCGAACAUGAGAUGGAUCGCCAACAUACUUCUAAAGCAUAGAAACAUGAAACAACGGAUGCACACUCGACAAGCUGGGUGGCACAGCAAGUCCAUAAGCCACCUCCCCAAUCAUCUGAAGCACCUCAAAAGGCCCAAUGAACCGAGGACUCAACUUACCGUUCUUCCCAAAUCUCAUAGCACCUUUCAUGGGUGAAACCUUCAGUAGAACCUUCUCCCCAACCAUGUAAGACACAUCACGAACCUUCCUGUCAGCAUAACUCUUUUAUCUCGAUUGCGCUAUACGAAGUCGUUCCUAAAGUACCUUCACCUUGUCCAAAGCAUCUUGCACCAGGUUUGUACCCAAAAGCCUAGCCUCACCGGGCUCAAACCAACCAACUGGAGAUCUACACCGUCUCCCAUAUAAAGCCUCAUAUGGAGCCAUCUUAAUACUCGACUGAUAACUAUUGUUAUAAGCAAACUCUACGAGCGGUAGAAACUGAUCCUAUGACCCUCCAAAAUCAAUGACAUAAGCGCGCAACAUGUCCUCCAAUAUCUAAAUAGUGCACUCGGACUGCCAUCCAUAUGAGGGUGAAAAGUUGUGCUCAACUCAACCUGAGUACUCAACUUUCUCUGCACCGCUCUCCAAAACUGCGAUGUAAACUGAGUACCUCUAUCUAAAAUGAUGGAAAAUGGGACAUCAUGCAAGCGAAUAAUCUCUCGGAUAUAAAUCCUUGCUAGCCGCUCUGAAGAAUAGGUAGUACACACAGGAAUGAAAUGCGCGGACUUGGUAUGUCGAUCCACAAUCACACAAAUAACAUUGAACUUCUUCAAAGUCUGUGGGAGCCCAACUACGAAAUCCAUGGUGAUCCGUUCCCACUUCCACUCUGGAAUAUCUAACUGCUGAAGCAAGCCACCCGGUCUCUGAUGCUCAUAUUUGACCUGCUGACAAUUGAGACACCGAGCUACAAAUCCCACAAUGUCCUUCUUCAUUCUCCUCCACCAAUAGUGUGGUCUCAAAUCAUGAUACAUCUUCGCAGCACCCGGAUGGAUGGAAUACCGCGAGCUAUGGGCCUCCUCCAGAAUCAACUCCUGAAGCCCAUCCACAUUGGGCACACAUAUCCGGCCAGCCCUACAUCAUUAAUACUCCGUCAUCACUAAUAGUCACAUCUCUAGCAUCGUCGUGCUAAACUAUGUCCUUAAGGACAAGCAAAUGAGAAUUAUCAUACUGGUGCUCUCUGAUGCGAUCAAAUAAGGAAGACCGAGAAACCACACAAGCUAAUACCCGACUAGGCUCCGAAAUAUCCAACCUCACAAACCGAUUGGCCAAGUCCUGAACAUCAACUGCAAUAGGUCUCUCCCCAAUAGGAAUAAAUGCAAGACUACCCAUACUCACUGCCUUCCUACUCAAAGCAUCGGCCACUAUAUUGGCCUUCCCCAGAUGGUACAAGAUGGUGAUAUUAUAGUCCUUUAGAAGCUCCAACCAUCUCCACUACCUCAAAUUGAGAUCCUUAUGUUUAAACAAGUGCUGGAGGCUACAAUGAUCAAUAAAAACCUCACAAGACACGUCAUACAAAUAAUGUCUCAUAAUCUUAAAUGCGUGAACAAUGGCAGCCAACUCUAGAUCAUGAAUAGGGUAGUUCUUCUCAUGGGGCUUCAACUAACUAGAAACAUAUGCAAUCACUCUACCCUCCUACAUCAACACACACCCAAUACCAACUCUCGAAGCAUCACAAUACACGGUAUAUGAACCUGAAGCUGAUUGCAACACUAACACUGGAGCUGUGGUCAAGGUAGUCUUGAGCUUUUGAAAGCUUGCCUAACACUCAUCCGACCACCUGAAUAAAGCAACCUUUUGAGUCAAUUUGGUCAAGGGUGAUGCAAUAUAUGAGAACCCCUGAACGAACCAACGGUAGUAACCCGCCAAACCAAGAAAGUUGUGAAUCUCUGUGGCUGAGGACGGUCUGGGCAAACUCUGAACCGCCUCUAUAUUCUUCGGAUCAACUUGAAUACCCUCACUGGACACCACGUGCCCGAAGAAAGCCAUUGAACUGAGCUAAAACUCACAUUAGGAGAACUUUACAUAAAGUUUCUCCUCCCUCAAUCUCAGUAACACGACUCUCAAAUGCUCCAUGUUCUCCUCCUGACUACGCGAGUAUACCAGAAUAUCAUCAAUGAAUACAAUAACGAACAGGUCGAGAUAAGGCCGAAAUACAUUGUUCAUCAAAUGCAUGAACGCUGCUGGGCAUUGGUCAGCCUAAAAGACAUCAUAAGGAACUCAUAAUGGCUGUAUCAUGUCCUGAAGGAUGUCUUAAUAAUAUUAGGGUCCCUAAUCUUCAACUGGUGANNNNNNNNNNNNNNNNNNNNNNNNNACAUCCUCAUCGUGCCAUCCUUCUUCUUCACAAAUAGAACAGGCGCACCCCCAAGGCGAUACACUAGGCCGAAUAAACCCCUUAUCAAGGAGUUGCUGAAGCUGCUCUUUCAACUCCUUCAACUCCGUUGGUUCCAUACGAUACGGUGGAAUAGCAAUUUGCUGAGUGUCCGACACCAAAUCAAUAACAAAGUCAAUAUCCCUGUCUGAUGGCAUGCCUGGCAGGUCUACAUGAAACAUAUCGGCAAAAGUCCCUCACUACGAGAACAGAAUCAAUACUAGGAGUCUCUGUACUGACAUUCCUCACAAAUGACAAGUGUCACGACCCGAUUUCAUUAUGGGUCGUGAUGGCGCCCAACACCAUUGUCAGACAAGCCAACACGGAAAUAUUAAUAAGUUCUCAUUUUACUUUACCAAAACAAGUACAACAAUUUUCUUAAGUUGAAGUUAAAAUAAGUGAUAAUCAAUAACGUACAAAAAUAAUUAUACAAUCCCCAAAAGAAUAGUCUACUAAUGUGAGUGCCAAGACCUGGUGUCACAAGUUUGUGGGCAACUAGUAGAAUUUACAAAUAUAUAAAUCUAUACUACUGUCUGAAAUAGAAUAGAUAGCCAAAAGUACAAAGAGACUCCAACAUGAUGAUGAUCGGCAUAAGAAGGUAGCAGCUUACCGUGGAAGUCUCGGACUAUGAUCAAGAACGCGCACCGGUCUGGUAGCUAGAUGUACCUGCCUUAGAUCCUGUACAAUUAAGUACAGAAGUGUAGUAUGAGUACAUAAACAAUAUGUACCCAGUAAGUAUCAUGUCUAAUCUCGAAGAGAUAGAGACGAGAGGUCGACUUGAUACUUACUAGUUUCAAAUUAUAUAAGAAAGGUGUUAUGCUAGGCAUGGAUGUCACAAAUAAAUAACAAUUUAUAGCAAGAAGAGAUAAGUCAUGUCCUAGAUGAUAUAACAGUUAGCCAUUUAUAUUUCAAAGCACUUAACAAAAUAAGUCAUGAAUAAGAUUUCACAUAGAUAUCAUGCGCACAUUAUGCCGAGGUCGUACGACCUUGCCUGGUCCAACAGAAUACAAACUGUGCACUGCUAGAGGGUCGAAUGGCACGAACCAUAGAUGCAUCUAUUUCUACCGAGGAAAUCGACCCGAUCCACAAAUAUCAAUUAUCAUCAAGGAAUUUCAUAAAGACGCAUUUAUAUUCAAAUAAAUUCAUACAAGUGUUCAAUAAGUACAUACGUUCACAUAUGUUCACUACCAAUUCUCUAACAUAUCCUAAGUGAUCACAUUAGAAAGAAAGUAUAUAAGCAUUAGCAAAUACGGCAUGGUACGGGUCCUAAACUACUUGGUCAAUUUAUAUAAUAGCAGCUACGCACGGACUCUCGUCACUUAGUGCGUACGUAGCCCCCAAAUUUAGUGGCAAAUUAUUCAAUUAUUUCACCUAUGGUAACAAUUCCCUCGUACAAGGUUAGAAAGGAGACUUACCUCGCCCCAAAGUGUACUUCCAAUACCAAGAACAUGCUCAAACCCUCAAUUUGGAGCCGAACGAUCUAAAACUAAUUAAAAGAGGUAGGAACUAGUCAAUACAAGCUCACAAGAUCUUGUGCUAACUAUUAAAGUAAUUUUUCAACAUUAAACACUAGUUUCCUAAAAUCCGACCCCGGGACCAUGUGCCCGGAUUCCGAAAUUAUUCGAAGAAAGUUGUUCUUUAUAACCUAAGGAUCAUUAAUAUAUGAUUUCUACUUCAUUUCAUAAAACAUUUCGCGGUUAAAUCUAACUUUUAUCAAAACCCUAGGUUUCUGCUCUAACCCCACAAUUUUUCCUUAAUCUUUGCGUGUUAAUCUACCCAAGACUCAAGUAUUAAACUAGAAAUAAGUAGGAUGAACUUACCAAAAGAUGCUAGGUGAAAGUCUUCUCUCAAGAGCUCCAAAAUCUCCCAAUAAAUGAGUGAAAAUGAGCAAAAAUGGUCUAGAGCCCGUAAUAAAUGAAGGUCACUACUUCAGUGACUUCCGCAUCUGCGGUCUUCGGCCGCACGUGCGCCCACCGCAUCUCCAAACAGGUGUCUACUUCUGCAGAAAUUCAGUUGGGCCACUGGCCGCUUUUGCGGGAACAACUGCUUCUGCGGUUCCGCUUCUACGGAAACUUAGCCGCUUCUGCGGCUUCUAGCUUGGCCUGCCUUGGCCGCUUCUGCGAGGGGACGACCGCUUCUACGGUCUCGCAUCUGUGGCUAGCCAACCGCAGGUGCGGUUAUGAUAGUAACCUGGAGUUUCAGCUCCUUCCCAAGUUUUCCAACUUCACUUGAGCCUUGCUCGAUUGACGCUCGGCGCCCCCGGGCCCCGCCCAAACAUACCGACAAGUUUGAAAUCAUAAAAUGGACUCGCUCGAACCCUCGAAAUGCCCGAAACAAAGCUAAAUCUAAGAAUCACCCCAUAAAACCAAUUGGAUCAAACUUAUGAUCUUCAAGUUCUUCAGGCUAGGGACCUUGAAAUUUGAUUCCGGGCAUACGCCCAGGUCCUAUAUUCUCCUACGGACCCUCCGGGACCGUCAAAACACAGGUGUGGGUCUGUUUGCUGAAAAUGUUGACCAAGGUCAAACUUAGCCUUUUAAGAAAAUCUUAGGGAAUCAAGUGUGCCUAUUACAACUAAAACUCUUCCUAAUCCCGAACUAACCAUACCCGCAGGUCGUAAUUUAGUUAAAGCAAGCGCGGAAAGUUUUAUUUAGGGGGACGGGGCUCUAAAAAUAAAAACGACCAGUCGGAUUGUUACAUUCUCCACCUCUUAAUCAAACGUUCGUCCUCGAACGGACAUAGAAAGGUACCUGAGCUAGGAAAAAGAUGGGGGUAUCUACUCCGCAUGUCCUCCUCGGACUCCCAGGUUGCCUCCUCAACUGGUUGGCCCCUCCACUGGACCUUUACCGCAGAAAUUCUCUUUGAUCUCAACUGGCAAUCGUGCCUAUCAAUAAUGGCAACUGGCUCCUCCUCAUAACCCAGACUCCCAUCCAGCUGAAUAGUACUAAAGUCUAACACAUGGGACAAGUCAGCGUGAUACUUCCGCAGUAUCGAUACAUGGAAAACUAGAUGAACUCCCGAUAAGAUGGGGGUAAAGCAAGAUCAUAAGCAACCUCCCCAACUCACCUCAACACCUCAAGUGGGCCAAUAAACCUUGGGCUUAACUUGUCCUUCUUCCCAAAUCUCAUAACUCCCUUCAUCGGCGAGACCUUCAAGAGAAUCUUCUCGCCGACCAUGAAUGAUACAUCACGUGCCUUCUGAUCUACGUAACUCUUCUGUCUUGACUGAGUUAUGCGAAGCCUUUCCUGAAUCAACCUCACCUUAUCCAAGGCAUCUUUCACCAAGUCUGUACCGUACAACUUAGCCUCACCAGGCUCAAACCACCCGAUAAGAGAAUGACCUCGCCGACCAUAUAAAGCCUCAAAUGUAGCUAUCUUUAUGCUGAACUGGUAGCUGUUGUUGUAAGCAAACUCCGCCAAGGGCAAGAACUGAUCUCGCUGUCCUCUAAAGUCAAUCACAGAUGCUCUGAGCAUGUCAUCCAAAAUCUGAACUAUCCACUCUAACUGUCUGUCGGUCUGAGGAUGGAAUGUUGUGCUAAGCUCCACACGGUCCUCAACUCACUCUGAACGGCUCUCCAGAAAUGGGAAGUGAACUGAGGGCCUCUAUCUGAUAUGAUGGAAACAGGCACACCGUGCAACCGGACUGUCUCCCGAAUGUAAAUCUGAGCAUACCUCUCUGAUGUAUAUGUAGUCGCCACUGGAAUAAAGUAGGAUGACUUGGUCAACCUGUCAACAAUGACCCACACUGCAUCAAACUUCCACAAAGUCCGGGGCAACCCAACUACGAAGCCCAUAGCAAUGCGCUCCCACUUCCACUAUGGUACAGGCAUCUACUGAAGUAGGCCACCUGGCCUCUGGUAUUCAUACUUAACAUGCUAGCAAUUCAAACACCUAGCCACAUACUCCACUAUGUCUUUCUUCAUCCUCCGCCACCAAUAAUGCUGUCUGAAGUCACAUUACAUCUCGUAGCGCCCGGAUGAAUGCAAUACCGCAAACUGUGUGCCUCCUAUAGAAUCCUCUCUCUCAGACCAUCAAUAUUAGGAACACAUAGGCGACCCUGGAGUCACAAAACACCAUCCUCGCCAAUAGAAACCUCCUUGGCACUACCCUAUAGCUUUGUCUCCCUAAGAACCGCCAAAUGUGGAUCAUUGAAAUGUCGGGCGUUGAUCCGCCCCAAUAAUGAAGAAUGAGCAACAACACAUGCAAGGACUUGGCUGGGCUCUAAAAUAUCCAACCUCACAAGUCUGUUAGCAAAGAACUGAAUGUCCAAGGCUAGUGGCCUCUCCUCUACUGGAAUGAAUGCCAAGCUACCCAUACUCUCUGCUUUCCUGCUUAAGGCAUCCGCAACCAUAUUUGCCUUGCCCGGAUGAUAAAAAAUGGUUAUGUCAUAAUCUUUCAGUAACUAAAGCCAUCUACGCCACCACAAAUUGAGAUCCCUCUACUUGAACAAAAGCUGCAAGCUACGAUGAUCCGUGUAAACCUCACAUGUCACCCCAUACAGAAAAUGUCUCCAUAUCUUAAGAGCAUGAACAAUCACCGCCAACUCUAGAUCGUGAACAGGAUAAUUCUUCUCAUGAAUCUUCAGCUAGUGUGAAGCAUAUGCAAUAACUCGCCCCUCUUGUAUCAAUACACAACCCAAGCCAGUGUGUGAAGCAUCACAAUAUAUCGUAUACAUCCUUGAACCGGAAGGCAACACAAGAACUGGUGUUGUAGUCAAAGCUAUCUUGAGCUUCUGAAAGCUCACCUCACAAUCAUCAGACCAACGGAAUGGAGCACCCUUAUAGGUCAAUCUAGUUAGAGGUGAUGCAAUAGAUGAAAAUCCCUGUACGAAUCAUUUGUAAUAACCUGCUAACCCCAGGAAACUCCUGAUCUCGCUCACUGAAGUAGGAUGUGGCCAACUCUGAACUGCCUCAAUCUUCUUGGGAUCCACCUUAAUACCCUCUCCUGACACAAUAUGCCCUAAGAAUGCCACUAACUCUAGCUAAAACUCACACUUGGAGAACUUAGCAUAUAGUUUCUACUUUCGCAAGGUCUGAAGCACUACUCUCAAAUGCUGCUUGUGAUCCCCCAGGUUACGGGAGUAUAUCAAGAUGUUUUCAAUGAAGAUGAUGACAAAGGAAUCAAUAUAAGGUCUGAACACCCUGUUCAUCAAGUCCAUAAAUGUUGUUGGGCCAUUACUCAAGCCAAAGGAUAUCACCAGAAACUCAUAAUGGUCAUAUCUAGUCCGAAAUGCAGUCUUCGGAACAUCUGAGUCCCGGAUCUUCAACUGAUGGUACCCUUACCUCAAGUCGAUCUUAAAGAACACCCUAGCACCCUGCAACUGGUCUAACAAAUCAUCAAUGUGAGGCAACGGGUACUUGUUCUUGAUGGUAGCCUUGUUCAACUGGCGUUAAUCAAUGCACAUCUGCAUGGUCCCAUCCUUCUUCUUUAGGAACAACACUGGUGCACCCCAAGGUGACACACUUGGUCUAACAAACCCCUUUGCUAACAACUCCUCAAGCUACUCCUUCAACUCUUUCGGAGCCAUACGGUACGGUGGAAUAAGUAUAGGCUGGGUGCCUGGAGCUAAAUCAAUACAAAAAUCAAUAUCACGAUCCAGUGGCAUGCCAGGAAGGUCAGAAGGACACACAUCGGUGAACUCCCAGACUACGGGAGCUGAAUCAAUCAUUGGAGACUCUGCGGUGGUGUCCCAAACAUAAGCUAUAUAAGCCAAACAACCCUUCUCGACCAUGUGUCGAGCCUUUAAAAAGAGAUAACCCGACUAAAUUUAUUAACUAAGGAACCCUUCCACUUCAACCUUGGCAUCUCUAGCAUUACUAAUGUAACAGUCUUAGCAUGGCAAUAUAGGACAGCGUGAUAUGGAGAUAACCAAUCCAUGCACAGGAUGACCUCAAAAUCGGUCAUUUCAAGCAACAGGAGAUCUGCUCUGGUCUCGAAACCGCAAAAUGUAACCACACAGAACCGGUAGAUCCGAUCCACAACCACAAAAUUGCCCACAGAGUGGACACCUGAAUAGAAGUACCCAAAGGCACACGAUGCAUAUCCAGAAAAUGAGCAAACAGAGAUGACACAUAUGAAUAAGUAGACCCUGGAUCAAAUAGUACUGAAGUAUCCCUGCCACAACGAAAAUAAUACAUGUGAUAACGGCAUCUAAGGCCAAUGCAUCUGGUCUGGCUAGAAUGGCUGGAGUGUCGGCUGGAGUGCCGGUUGGCUGGCCUCCACCUGUCUAAGCAGUAGCUGGCUGACCUCUCCCUGGCUGACCUCCACCUCUAGGACGGCCCCUACCAGUUUGUACCCCGCCCCUAGACGGAUGGGCAACUGAUCCUAAAAUCAUAGGCUAUUGACCCUGCUGUACUAACUUGCCCCGAAGCCUAGGGCAGUAUCUCCUCAUAUGACCAAAGUCUCCGCACUUAAAACAACCCUGCAGUGCGGCGACUUGAUGCCCUGAUGGCUGACCCUGAUGUCCUGUAGACUUACUGGAAGAAUCCUGGAUAGCCGGUGGACGGUAGGAACUCUCUGGCAUAGCACUAAAAUAGGAACCUGAAGAACUCUAGGGACCUGAAUACCCACUGGAGGAACCUUGAAUAGCUGGCGAGCGAUAAGAACUCUCUGUCAUGGAGCUGAAAUAGGGGCGCGCUGGAGAACCAUGAGCAGGUGGUGGUGCUGAAUAUGGGGGUCUGCUGGGCUGACCCCUCCCAAGCUGACUCUACCCCUAGCUGGGACACCUCUGAACUCUCUGGAGAAUCUAUCCCUCUUAUCCUGCUGUAUCUGCUCCCUACCCCUCAGAUGGUAGCCCUCAAUCCUCCGAGCAAUCUCUAAUACUAGCUGAUAAGAAGUCCCCAUCUACACCUCUCGGGCCAUGUUGGCCGGAAAGCCAGAAUGCAACCCUAUAAUGAACCUGUGCACCCACUCAGUGUUAGUAGGAAGUAUCUUCAAUGCAUGGAGGGAUAACUCAAAAAACCUCACCUCGUAACUGGUCACGGACAUCUGACCUUGCUUAAGCUGCUCAAACUGAUACCACAACUCUUCCCUCUCAGUGGGUGGAAUAUACUUGUCCAAGAAUAACUAUGUGAACUGGCUCCAAGGGAUUGGAGGAGAACCUGCUGGCCUGCCAAGAAUAUAGGAAUGCCACCAUCUACGGGCCCUGCCCUCUAACUGAAAAGUAGUGAAGUCAACCGCAUGCGAAUCCAAUAUCCUCAUGUUGUGUAGAUUGUCCAUACACCUAUCAAUGAAAUCAUGGGCAUCCUCAUGAUGCUCACCCCCAAAGACAGGAGGGUGAAGUCUGGUCUAUCUAUCCAACAACUUCUGGGGGUCACCAUCCGCAGCUAGUCAGGGCUCGGGCACCACUGCAGCAACUGGCUGAGCCCCAUCCACAGGUAGUGCACCCGGAGUCUGAUGCACUGCAGCUGCAUGACCAUGAGCCUGAGAAGUAGGGGUCUGUGCUCCCCCUCCUACUUGUGAUGUUGCUGGAUCUGCUGGAAAUAAACUAGCCUGAGUCGUGGUGUCCAUGAAUCGCAGCAUACGGCCCAUGACCUCUUGGAAACCCGGUGCUGUCACAAAGUCUGCCGGGGUAGGCUCAGCUGCGGGCACCUCGCCCUUCUUCUCAAUGAUAGGAUCUCACGUAGGAUCUGUUGGUGUGCUACUGGAACAUCUUUAGGAUGCCCUUGUCCCCUACCUCGGGCUGGUGCCCUCCCCCGGCCCUUGCCUCGGCCUCUAGCAACGGGGGGAGCAGCUCCUCCCGGGUUGGGAUCAUCUGCCAUGCAUGUCCUCACCAUCUGUAAGAGGAUAGAAGAGGGAAAAUUUUGUAUACCAACCACUGCACGAUAGGAAAUGAAUAAAGAGUAGUUUCCUAACACCUUAUAGCAUCUCGAAGAUAUAUACAGACGUCUUUGUACCAAUACACAAGACUCUAUUAGGUUUGCCCAUGACUUGUGAGACCUACGUGAACCUAGUGCUUUGAUACCAUGUUGUCACGACCUGAAUUCACUAUGGGUCAUGAUGGCGCCCAACACCAUUGUCAGGCAAGCCAACGUAGAAAUAAAAAAUAAGUUCUCAUUUUACUUUACCAAAAUAAGUACAGCAAUUUCCUUAAGUUGAAGUUAAAACAAGUGAUAAUCAAUAACGUACCAAAAUAAUUAUACAAUCCCCAAAAGAAUAGUCUACUAAUGUGUGUGCCAAGACCUGAUUUCACAAAUUUGUGGGCAACUAGUAGAAUAUACAAAAGAAUAAAUCUAUCCUACUAUCUGAAAUAGAAUAGACAGUCAAAAGUACAGAGAGACUCCAAUAUGUUGUUGAUCAGCAUACGAAGGUAGCAGCUCACCGUGGAAGUCUCGGACUAUGAUCAAGAACGCGCACCGGUCUGGUAGCCAGAUGUACCUACCUCAGAUCCUAUACAAUUAAGUACAGAAGGAUAGUAUGAGUACAUAAACAAUAUGUACUCAGUAAGUAUCCCGUCUAAUCUCGAAGAGGCAGAGAUGAGAGGUCGACUUGAUACUUACUAGAGUCAAAUAAUAUAAGAAAAGUUUUAUGCUAGGCAUGGAUGUCACAAAUAAAUAACAAUUUAUAUCAAAAAGUGAUAAGUCAUGUCCUAGAUGAUAUCACAGUUAGCCAUUUACAUUUAAAAGCACUUAACAAAGUAAGUCAUGAAUAAGAUUUCACAUAGAUAUCAUGCGCACAUUAUGCCGAGAUCGUACGGCCCGGUCCAAUAGAAAACAAACUAUGCACAUAUCCUAAGUGAUCACAUUAGCAAGAAGGUAUAUAAGCAUUAGCAAAUACGGCAUGGUACGGGUCCUAAACUACCCGGACAAUUAACAUAAUAGUAGCUACGCACGGAAUUUCUUUACCUAGUGCAUACGUAGCCCCCUCAUUUAGUGGCAAAUUAUUCAAUUAUUUCACCUAUGGGGACAAUUCCCUCUUAUAAGGUUAGAAAGGAGACUUACCUCCCCCCAAAGUGUACUUCCAAUACCAAAAAUGUGCUCAAACCCUCAAUUUGGAGCGGAAAGAUCCAAAACUAAUUAAACGAGGUAGGAACUAGUCCAUACAAGCUCACACAUUCGCAUUCAAACUAUUAAAGUAAUUUUCCAACCUUAAACACAAGUUUUAGGUCCAAGAAACUCACCUCAAUGAAAACCCCCAUGAUUCCCUCUUCCAAACCAUCCAAAAAGCUUCAACUCCGGAUAAAAAUGAUGGAAAACAACUCAAAUUUCGCGAAGGAGAACAUAUAUACUUUCUGACCCAGGGAUUUUGCACUUGCGGUCCUUUUUCAACUUCUGCAACACCGCUUAUGUGGUCUAUCCAACCGCAUAUGCGGUUUCCACUUAAAGUCCUGGGACCGCACCUACGCUCAUCUACCCGCACAUGCAGUCUUGCAGGUGCGUUACACCUCCCGCACCUGCAAUUUCUUGCUUUUUCUCAUAUGGCCCCAUUUUCGGCUGAUGUACCGCUUCUGCGAUCUCGCACCUGCGGUCCCCAAUCCGCAGGUGCAGUUAUGACAGGAACUCAGCAACUUCAGUUGUAAACUCUAACUUCCAACUUCCCGAAAACCAUCCGAAAUCAUCCCUAGGACCCCGUGACCUCAACCAAAAGUACGAAUAAGUCAUAUACCACUAUUCAAACUUAUACCAAUAUUUGAAACACUUGAAACAACAUCGAAUAAUCAAAACACCCUCGGAUUCAAGCCUAAAGUUUCCAAAACUUCCGAAUUCUGUAAAUGACCAAAAAGCCUGUCAAAUCAACUCCGAAUGACCUGAAAUUUUGCACAUACAUCCCAAAUGACAAUACGGACCUACUCCAAUUUCCGGAAUUCCAUUCUGACCCUGAUGUCAAAAUUUUCACCACCAAUCGAAAAGCGCCAAAAUUUCAAUUUUGCCAAUUCCAACCUAAAUCUACUACGGGCCUCCGAAUUACAUUCCGAUCACGCUCCUAAGUUCCAAAUCACCUAACGAAGCAAUCCCAACCAUAAAAACCUUAUUCUGAGAUCGUUUGCACACAAGUCAACUUCCGAUUAACUUUUCCAACUAAAUGGCCAACUUAAGAGACUAAGUGUCUCAUAACACUCCAAAACUACUCCAAACCCGAACCAACCAACACGAUACGAUAAAAUGUAGUUGAACAACACAUAAGAAAGCAGAAAUGGAGAAAACAAAGUGGUAACUCAUGAAAUGACCGGCCGGGUCGUUACAAGAUCAUAGUAUAAUUAUAAGGAGAAUGAAAAUCAAUAUCAUAUUUAUUUUGAUUCAUGAAACUUCUUAAAAUGGUUAUUCUCCAAGUUUGCUUACAGGCUGGUGGUCAUGAAUUUGACGAACUCCGAUUGACCUGAAACUUGGUAGGUUCACCGAAAAUGAUCUAGUGAGAAAACCUCACCACUAUGCAGUAAAUCCCGCUGUUUUUUGGCAUUUUGAGGUCGUUUAGAUGUGUUUUCAAGCAAUUUAUUAAAUUGAAUUUGUUAUAAAUAUGAAAUAUUAUUCUUUGUAUAUCGGCUAUAUUUGUGUUAAAUCUGAAACAUGAUGAUUUAACUUGAUAUGAUAUAUAGCAAGAAUGCAAAUCUCAUGGAUUUAUUCCUAAAUACGCCGAAAAUAAUUUAUUCGAAUUUGGUCUAGUUUUUGGCGAUCGUGAAUUUCACAAUAUUCGAAUGACCUGAAAUUCGGUAGGAUCAUCGAAAAUGAUCAGUUAAGAAGAACUCAUAUAGUAUUUUGACGAUUCGGGAUCAUUUAGAUGAGAUUUUGGAGGUUUGGCGGAUUAAAAUGUGAUUUACAUACGAAAAGUCAUUCUUUCUAUCAUUUUAUUUGUCUAAUCUGGAACAUGAUAAUACAUGUUGAUUUGACAUGAAUUGGUAUAUGAUAAGAAUGUAGGUCAUAUUUUAAAUUCUUAAAAAAUGCUUAAAAUGGUAAUUUUCCAAAUUUGGUUGCAACUUUUGGAGAAUGUGAUUUUAACGAUCUCUGAUUGAUCUGAAAUUUGGUAGGUUUAUCAGAAACAGCUCUGUGAACAAUACUCACUACUAUGCAGUGAAAAGCUCUAAUUUUAGCGUUUUAAGACUGUUUAGAUGGGGUAUUGAGUAUUUUUUUAAUUAUGGAACUUAAUCCUCAGAGAAAAGUUUGUGGUCGUGAUAAAGUGGUGAUAGGAAUUAAUACCUAUGGUCUCUAUUUUUUAUUAUAGUGAGAUAAUAAAUUUAUGCGUUGACAUUAGGUCUUCCUCCAUAUCGAAAACAUUUAUUAUGAACUCACUGAAUAUAGUUACUAGUUAUUGAUAACCUGUAUUAAUUCUCCAUCUGAAUUUAAAGGGUUGAAUCAAUUUUGUAACUAAUAUACAAUUGUCACAUCUCCUUUUUCCUACCCCCGGAAGGGUAUAAGGGAGUUUUUUUCUAAUUUAAGUGACAAUCGAAUCAGUAUUAUUUAUUUAAGAAUUCAGAGUCGCCACUUAGGAUAAUUUAUGGUGUCCUAAGUCACCGGUUCAAAUCUCGGAUCGAGGAAAGAUUGCCUCUGUUUUAUAGUCCGCAAACACAGAAAUUCAGGUAAGAAAUUCUGUUAAUCUGGGAGAAGGUGUUACGCAUUCCCCAGUUCUGUGGUUCUAGCACGAUCGAUCAACUAUAAUUAUUGACCUAUUUAUCUGAUUUUAAACACUUUUAAACCUAUGUGCCUUUUAAAUUUUUAACCGCUUUUAUUUAUUUAAGGAAUUAUUUCAAGGUUAUUUAAAACACAUCGUAAGCCACGCUACAUGAAAUGCACCCGUGAGUCAUGACACGUUCUAUUUAACCUUGUUGGAAAUUAGAAUUGGGUCACAUGCAAAGUACACCCGGGUUUUCGUAAUUACAAAUCACAACUACUUCACGGGAAUCAUACCCGUAUCCAUAAUAAUUAUUAAUUGCGCCUAAAGCAAGCUACGAUGUUUAUGAAUAUUAACGUCUUAAACGUACUCUUAGCUAAGCCCAAAAUUACAUGUUUAAAACCUAUUGCAUUAUCAUUAUAUUGAAAGGUUGCAGUAUUACAAUCAGCUGAGCUGCCAAAAUUCAAGAUGUCUAUAUGAGAAUAGCUUGCUCCCUUUUGACUAUAUAUACCUAAAAAUUCUAGAAUUAGCAAUAAUGGUCCAGAAAAUUUAGAGUAACCUACAUUUUUGACAACUUCAGUUUUGGACUUGCAUUUGCAGUAUCCAGCAUUUUUAUGGACUAAUUAGUGAAGGACGACAACAAAGGAAAUCAACUUUGACACAACGUUUAGUUUACGAUGUAAAAUCUUCAUAACUAAUACACAUAUUGCUAAUAGACACUAACAACAACAAACACAACAAUACAAAAAUCUUAAGCAAUGACGAACAUAUUUUUAGCAACAAUUUUAAUAAGUUAUACAACGUUUAGCAGCUACAAACUGCCACGAGUCACUCAAAGAAUCAAACAAUUGAAUAUCAACUCACAAAUACACCAUAACCAGUUAUAUCACCAUAUAAACCCAUGUAAAACAAGAUUAGUUAUGACCUAAUAAUUGCAAGAAACAAGAGAUGAGAAAUGAACCUCCAAAUGUGAAUCUGAGCUUAACUGGUUUGCAGCUCCAGAAUCGGAUAGGGACUUGACCAGGACCAACGGAACUUCGACUUUGGAGCUUGCCGGAAUUUGAUGAAACACAGGCAGACCUCGACUCUUCAGCCUCGAAACUCGUCGGAAAGUAAAAAAAAUGCAUGACUGUGUGUGCGCGUGCUCCGACAGAUAUGGUGAAGAGAAGACGAAGCAGCGAAAUACAGGAGGUCAUAAAAUUGGCUAUUUGUGCGAAUCAACUAUUGUAGAAGUAGAUUAGUCAGCAAGUCAGCCGCAGAGAUAAAAUCUAGCAAAAAUACCGAAAAUGAGAUCAUUUAAGCAAGACAGCAAGUUCCUAUCUCCAUUUUAGGGAAAUGAUUUGAAACCAAAGGGUCAAGUGCAAGCAGAAACAUCACGUAUUCCAUACAUUCCUAUGGCAGAUCCUUUUGUUUUUUGGUUUUUAGAUCUAAGAUUUUUUUUGUCUUGUGUUGAUUUGCUCUAGAGAUUAGGGAACACGGCUGAUAGUCUUCGUCUAGGGUAGGUUAUAAUUUGGUUUUUAUUUGAUAGGUGAAAGGAUUGUGACCAUUGGAUUAAAAUGGAUCGAUGAUUGAGAUUAAAAUGGUGUAUUUGGCCGGGUCAGCUGGGUUGAUGGGUUAUUUGGGCUAAGGAGAAUUGGUUUGGUCCAAAUUGGGUCCUAAAAUUGGGCUCUAAGACUCUUAAAAUUGUGGUCCAACACCUUAGCUAACUUCUUUUAAUAAAGAUAAAAAUACUACACAACGCAAAAACUAAAUCUAAUUAAUUAAAUCAAACUAUAUUAUAACAUGAAUCUAUUUUAUAUUUUUUUUUGUAUUUUCAAGAUUAUAUAAAGAUAAAAAAUAAGGUACUAUUUUUGUAUUUUUUUUAUUUAAUUUGAUAAAGAAACGUAAACUAAAAUAUUUUUUGUGACAAAAUAAAAUAAAAGGGUCAAAAUUAGUUGAAAUAGCGAUAUUAGGCCUAAACGAAACAUUUACAUGCUAAAAUAUAAAAAAAUUUGGGGAGAUUCAAAAAUCACAUGUUUAAAGCUGCCCCUCUUUGACUGCAAAUACGAAGUAUUUUCAGACAAAGAACGACUAGAUAGAUUUUUUUGACCCGACCCUUAUUUAAAGAGACCAAAAGCUAAAAGAAAAGAGAAUGUGACUGAGCCCUGGUAUCUGAGCUGCCUACAUAUUCUUGGCUAUAAAGGAAUCAGAUCACGUGUAGUUCAGAAGUGAGUGAGAUGAUAGAGUAUACCGAGUUGGAGAGCCGAUCGAGGUGCCAUUCCGUCGAGGUUCCAGUCCGCAGCCCUGUUAAUACAUCAAAAUCAAAAAAUGAAAAAGACUAACUAAGUCUGUCAACUAUGAGUUACAAGAUUCCUAUCUAUAAGUCUUCUGAAGCUUGAUCUUGAGUCUUGAAUGGUUCUUCACGCAGACUUUAGAUUUGAACAUUGACGCUUGCUAGCUGCAGGUACUAGUUCAUUCUUCUUCGGAUCGAGACUGGACAUGCAAUGCUCGUGAUUUCAACCAUGUCCUGAGUAGUUCAUAUCUUUCAUCAACUUCUGCAUUUGGAUUCACUUCUUGCCUUUCUUUCUUUUUUUAUUCUGGAUUGUGACUAACUUCCAUUGAUCAUCUCGGACUGUUGACUCGCAUUCUUGAUGCGAUUUUCUUUUGUUGCUGACUUGAAUUGCAUUCUGAAAUGAAUUCCCUUAUUCUCCAGGUAGCGCCUAAUUGCCAACAUUUAAACUGUAUUCCCUUGUUCUCCAAGCAGUCACCUAAUUACCAAAACUUGAAUUGUCUUCCCUUUGUUACCUUAAAUUGUUUUCCCUUGAAACUUGUGUUAUCUUACUUUGAAAUUGAUGCUUUCCCUUUAUUCUCCAGGUGGGUGCCUGAUUACCAACAUUUGUAUUGUUUUUCCUUGAGACUUGAACUGUUUCCCUUUGUUCUCCAGGUGGGCUUCUGAUUACCAACACUUGAAUUGCUUUCCCUUUGUUCUCCAGGUGGGCUCCUGAUUACCAAUACUUGAAUUAUUUUCCCUUUGUUCUCCAGGUGGGCUCCUGAUUACCGACACUUGAAUUGCAUUUCCUUUGUUCUCUAUGUGGGCUCCAAAUUCCCAACACUUGAAUUGUUUUCCCUUUGGUCUCCAGGUGGGCUCCUGAUUUCUAAUACUUGAACUGCUUCCCUUUGCUCUCCAGGAAGGCUCCUGAUUACCAAUACUUGAAUUGCUUUCCCUUUUGUUCUCCAGGUGGGCUCCUGAUUUCCAACACUUGAACUGAUUUUCCUUUGUUCUCCAAGUGGGCUCCUGAUUUUUAACACUUGAACUGCUUUCCCUUUGUUCUCCAGGUGGGCUCCUAAUUUCCAAUAAACACACAAAACAAAAGAAUUUUUUCUGCCCAAGUUUGAUAUUGGGAACAUCUGUGAGUGUUAAUCGAAUCUUGUUACUAAAAGAGCUAUAAAAUCUCAAAAACUAAAUCCCAUUAUCCAGGAGGGUCCUGAAAAUUAAAAAUUAAAUCUCAUCUUAAGGGUGACAACUUCAAAGCUAAAUUCUAUUUCCUAAAGGUAAAACUUACGCUAAAUCUUAUUAUCUAUGAAGGUCUUAAAACGUAAAACUAGAUCCCAUUAUCCAGGAGGGUCCUGAGAACUUCAAAUUAAUCCCAUUAUCGAGGAGGGUCUUGAAAAAAAAAUUGAAAUUAAAUCCCAUUAUCUAGGAGGGUCCUGAAAAGCCGAGAAUGAACUUACCUGAGCCAUGCUUUCUUCUUGGAGGAUCUUUGCAGAACGAAUAAAAUUCCAUGCCCCUGAACCAUGUUUUUCCUUAUGGAGGGUUCCUGUAGAUCGAACAAAUUUUCUCUCUUCUUCUCAAACCGCCUUUGUGCCGACAAAAUUUGGGCACGACAUCUGAAAAAUUAAAGCUUUCAAGCUUUGAUUUGGACAUAGUCUUCAUCCAUAUUUCAAACAAAGAAAACUUGUGAGUUUAAACAUGGUGGUUGGUUUGUGGCCUUGACUUUGAGGGCGAUUGCUCCUUCACUUCCCAUGAUAACUUCGAUUUCACCUCGAAAGAGGGCCUAUUUAUUGACUGACCACUUUCUCUAUCACUCUUAGCACGGAAAAUAACUCUGAUCCAUUCAAACCCAAUACCAUUCAUCUGUUGCAUUGUGCUCACGCAUUGACAUAUACUGAACCUUUGUGUUUCACAUGAACCCCAAAGCACGUUGAUUGUUACCCACUCAGUGUGCAUGUCGUUCUUUCCUGACUUAACCCACUGGCCUUGGCCUUAAGGUCUAUUGCUCCUUCACUUGCCAUGAUAACUUUGAUUUCCACUUGGAAGACCUUGCUUGUCAUUGGUUAACCACUUUCUCUGUCAACCUUAUCACAAAAAAUACCUUUGAUCCGUUCACCCAACACCUUCUAUCUGUUGCAUUGCUCAUGAACUGACAUAUACCGAAUCUUUGUAUUUCACAUAAAUUCCAAAGCACAUUGAUUGUUACCAACUCAGUGCGUACGUUGUUCUUUCCUUACUUAUGACACUUUGAUGUGCUAGCCAGAUCCCGCUUUGUGCAAUUGGAAAGCUGGUGGCAAAUUUUGAGGUCAUUUCUCACUUGUUUUGACCAAACAGACUCAAGAAGAGGAAGUAAACAAGACAAAAGGAACAGAGUAAAGGACAAUGGAAAGAGAUGAUACCUAACAAGAAAAUUACAAAGUAGAAACCUAUCAGAUGUGGACAAUAACUCUAAUGACCAUGACAUGCACCUUUCGAUUAAGUGGCCUAAUCUGUCAAGCAAGUCUAAUGUUCAACUCUUGUCGUACCUCUGAGUCGUGAAACUGGGCUUCAAUGCUCUGAUUAUCCAAUCUGAUUCACAAUCCUUAUUCGACUUGUAGUGCCCGAAUGGUUUUCACCAUCAAGCCUCUCUCAUUUUGUUCUUUCUCUCAACUCACCAUCGCUUUAUGGUGCCUGUGAAGGUUUUCACCAAUAAGACUCUCUCAUUUUGUUCUAUUCUUCUUAUCUCCUCUGAUUCUGCAGAUGACAAGGCAUUAACCAUGGUAAAAACAUCAUAUGCUCCUGGCAUGGCCAACUCAGCACUCUCAAAGAUUAUCUGGGACGUCUUUUUGGAUUAUAAUGUGGCUUUUGAACAGGGUUAGUAAGAAAGGAUAUCAUUAAGGCUCAAAAUAACUAUGACAACGAGAUCAAUUUAUUUACAACUUUCGGAAUCCAUUCUAAAACUUUGCCCCAAUUUCUAAAACAAGGGAAUUUGAUUCUUUUUUUCUUUUGAUGGAGUUACUAAGAAAGACUGCCCCACUUUCGACUUCGUGGGAUUAUGAAAUAUUUUAUUUGGUAUGACUGAACCGUAAGGCUUCCUACGUAUCUUGUGGUGAUAAGAAUCAGGUCAAACGUAGUUCACAAAGAUACGUUUUGUUGUUGCUAUUUUUCUUUUCUUUUUCUCUUUUUUUUCUUUUCUUUCUUUUUUCCUUCUUCUUUUUUUCUUUUUUCGCAUGACCCUAACUUGAUUCCAAAAGAGGAGAGGUCAAAGAAAUUAGUACAGGCUCAAAAGGGUAUCAAAUGGUAUAAGUGUUUGGGUAGCUAAAAGAGGGCCUCUCAAUCCCUGAAAAUGCCAAGUACAACACAUGCAACUUGAAAUGAAAAUUGAAGAUCAUGCACAAUAUUUCUCUUGGGCUUCAGCAUUGAUAUUACUAGUAUGCCUUCCACUUUUCUUUAGCACCUUGUCAAAUACAGAACCCUCGUUGGGUGAUUCCUUUUUCAUAAUGGAUAUCCUCUGUCAAUUCGGAGAAAACUUCCUUGACUUUAUCUUGUUACUUUAGGUGCACUUGAACUCAAAGUUGCUUGCUUCAAAUCGUCCAGGAUGCACUCUCCUUUAACAAAUUCUUGUCACCCUAUUAACUUCCCAAAUUAUCCGCCUCAGUUUCACAUAGUUCGGGGUUCAAAUGAUCUCAAAAUGCCUUUACUUAUUUCCCUCAAAUAUUCCUAUCAUCUUCAAAAAUGUUUUAUUGCUUCAUGAUUAAACUAACUUUUAAGACCAGGCCUAGGAUUAUGUGUGCAUGUCAUGUUACUAGAGUCGGCAGGAAAAGAACUAUAGAAGGAGAAAAGAACUAUAACAGAAAACAGAAAAUUGCAUUUAGAAAGACGGUGCAAGAGUUUGAACAACAAAACAAGAAAAAUAAACUAGGUUACAACCCUGGAACAAACCUAGAUAACACCAAACGAGAAGUCACACGAAGUGCACACUACCCAGAUGAUUUAGAAGACUCAAAGAGAGGAGGGUUUUGUAUCAAUCUAUAUAGAGUCCAAACAAUAUAAAAGCGGUAACAAGUAACAUUUAGCACAUUAAACCCAAACACGUGAAUAAAACCAGAUAAUAAAUAAAGCUAACUAUAACAGAUAUUCUAAGCUCGAAUUCUCGAACCCUAAACUAGAGAUUCUGGGUUCUUAUCCCUAGCAGAGUAACCAGAGUUGUCACACCUCCUUUUUCCUAUCCCGGAAGGGUAUAAGGGAGUUUUUUCCAAUUUAAGUGACAAUCGAAUCGAGAUUAUUUAUUUAAGAAUUCAGAGUCGCCACUUGGGAUAAUUUAUGGUGUCCCAAGUCACCAGUUCAAAUCCCGAAUCGAGGAAAAAUUAACUCUGUUUUAUAGUCCGUGAACACAGAAAUCCAGGUAAGGAAUUUUGUUAACCCGGGAGAAGGUGUUAGGCAUUCCUUAGUUCCGAGGUUCUAGCACGGUCAUUCAACUAUUAUUAUUGGCCAAUUUAUCUCAUUUAAAACACUUUUAAACCUAUGUGCCUUUUAACUUUUUAACCGCUUUUAUUUAUUUAAGGAAUUAUUUCAAGGUUAUUUAAAACACAUCGUAAGACACGCUACAUGAAAUGCACCCACGAGUCACGACAUGUUCUAUUUAACCUUGUGGAAAAUUAGAAUCGGGUCACAUGAAAUGUACAACCGGGUUUUAGUAAUUACAAAUCACAACUACGUUACGAGAACCAUACCCGUAGCCAUGAUAAUUAUUAAUCGAGCCUAAAGCAAGCUACGAUGUUUAUGAAUAUUAACGGCUUAAGCGUACUCUUAGUUAAGCCCAAAAUUACACGUUUAAAACCCAUUGCAUUAUCAUUAUAAUGAAAGGUCGCGGUAUUACAAUCAGCUGAGCUGCCAAAAUUCAAGGAGUCUAUAUGAGAAUAGCUUGAUCCCUUUUGACUAUAUAUACCUAAAAAUUAUAGAAUUAGCAAUAAUGGUCCAGAAAAUUUAGAGUAACCAACAUUUUUGACAACUUCAGUUUUGGUCUUGCAUUUGCAGUAUCCAGCAUUUUUAUGGACUAAUUCGUGAAGGACGACAACAAAGGAAAUCAACUUUGACACAACGUUUAGUUUACGAUGUAAAAUCUUUAUAACUAAUACACAUAUUGCUAAUAGACACUAACAACAACAAAUACAACAAUACAAAACUCUUAAGCAAUGUCGAACAUAUUUUUAGCAACAAUUUUAAUAAGUUAUGCAUAGUUUAGCAGCUACAAACUGCCACGAGUCACUCAAAGAAUUAAACAAUUGAAUAUCAACUCACAAAUACACCAUAACCAGUUAUAUCACCAUAUAAACCCAUGUAAAACAAGAUUAGUUAUGACCCAAUAAUUGCAAGAAACAAGAGAUGAGAAAUGAACCUCCAAAUGUGAAUCUGAGCUUAACUAAUUUGCAGCUCCGGAAUCGAAUAGGGACAUGACCAGGACCAACGGAACUUCGACUUUGGAGCUUGCCGGAAUUCGAUGAAACACAGGUAGACCUCGACUCUUCAGCCUCGAAACUCGCCGGAAAGUAAAAAAAAUUGUGACUGUGUGUGUGCGUGUUCCGAUAGAUAUGGUGAAGAGAAGAUGAAGCAGCGAAAUACAGGAGGUCAUAAAAUCGGCUAUUUGUGCGAAUCAACUAUUGUAGAAGCAGAUUAGUCAGCAAGUCAGCCGCAGAGACAAAAUCUAGUAAAAAUACCGAAAAUGAAAUCGUUUAAGCAAGACAGCAAAUCCUUAUCUCCAUUUUAGGGAAAUAAUUUGAAAUCAAAGGGUCAAGUGCAAGCAGAAACACCACGUAUUCCAUACAUUCCUAUGGCAGAUCCUUUUAUUUUUUGGUUUUUAUAUCUAGGAUUUUUUUUGUCUUGUGUUGAUUUGCUCUAGAGAUUAGGGAACACGACCGAUAGUCUUCGUCUAGGGUAGGUUAUAAUUUGGUUUUUAUUUGAUAGGUGAAAGGAUUGUGACCAUUGGAUCAAAAUGGAUCGAGGGUUGAGAUUAAAAUGGUGUAUUUGGGCGGGUCAGUUGGGUUGAUGGGCUAUUUGGGCUAAGGAGAAUUGGGUUGGUCCAAAUUCGAUCCUAAAAUUGGGCUCCAAGACUCUUAAAAUUAUGGUCCAACACCUUAGCUAACUUCUUUUAAUAAAGAUAAAAAUACUACACAACGCAAAAACUAAAUCUAAUUAAUUAAAUCAAACUAUAUUA
RNAcentral lists this long non-coding RNA (31301 nucleotides) under Nicotiana tabacum (common tobacco). RNAcentral's name for it is "long non-coding RNA (NTAB_LNC010316)". Lineage: Eukaryota; Viridiplantae; Streptophyta; Magnoliopsida; Solanales; Solanaceae. The record is from RNAcentral.